UACGUAGGGUGCAAGCGUUAAUCGGAAUUACUGGGCGUAAAGCGUGCGCAGGCGGUUGUGCAAGACCGAUGUGAAAUCCCCGGGCUUAACCUGGGAAUGGCAUUGGUGACUGCACGGCUAGAGUGUGUCAGAGGGGGGUAGAAUUCCACGCGUAGCAGUGAAAUGCGUAGAGAUGUGGAGGAAUACCGAUGGCGAAGGCAGCCCCCUGGGAUAACACUGACGCUCAUGCACGAAAGCGUGGGGAGCAAACAGG
RNAcentral lists this ribosomal RNA (253 nucleotides) under uncultured bacterium. Its description in RNAcentral is "partial 16S ribosomal RNA". It matches the Rfam family "Bacterial small subunit ribosomal RNA", at positions 524 to 776 of the family's 1533-position model. The record is from RNAcentral.